UACGUAGGGAGCAAGCGUUAUCCGGAUUUACUGGGUGUAAAGGGCGCGCAGGCGGGCUUGCAAGUUGGGAGUGAAAUCCCGGGGCUCAACCCCGGAACUGCUUUCAAAACUGUGAGUCUUGAGUGAUGGAGAGGCAGGUGGAAUUCCCAGUGUAGCGGUGAAAUGCGUAGAUAUUGGGAGGAACACCAGUGGCGAAGGCGGCCUGCUGGACAUUAACUGACGCUGAGGCGCGAAAGCGUGGGGAGCAAACAGG
Molecule: ribosomal RNA, 253 nt
Filed under: uncultured prokaryote
Description: partial 16S ribosomal RNA
Rfam family: Bacterial small subunit ribosomal RNA
Source: RNAcentral